CCUACGGGAGGCAGCAGUAGGGAAUCUUCCACAAUGGGCGAAAGCCUGAUGGAGCAACGCCGCGUGAGUGAUGAAGGCCUUCGGGUUGUAAAACUCUGUCAUUCGGGACGAACCGGAGUCUGAGGAAAUGCAGACUCUCUGACGGUACCGGAGGAGGAAGCCCCGGCUAACUACGUGCCAGCAGCCGCGGUAAUACGUAGGGGGCAAGCGUUGUCCGGAUUCACUGGGCGUAAAGCGCGCGCAGGCGGUGAUGUAAGUCUGAGGUGAAAACCCGAAGCUCAACUUCGGGACUGCCUUGGAUACUGCGUCACUUGAGGAUAGGAGAGGCAAGGGGAAUUCCACGUGUAGCGGUGAAAUGCGUAGAGAUGUGGAGGAACACCUGUGGCGAAGGCGCCUUGCUGGCCUAUUUCUGACGCUGAGGCGCGAAAGCGUGGGGAGCAAACAGGAUUAGAUACCCUGGUAGUCCACGCUGUAAACGAUGAGUGCUAGGUGUAGGUGGGCUCAUACCACUCUGUGCGACGACUACGACAUAAGACACNCCGCCGUCGGGUAGGUACGGUCGCGACGACGUACGAACGUACGAAGUAGAGUUAGACGGCGUUGAGGACGNGCCGACGGCGACGACGAGGGAGGAGG
RNAcentral lists this ribosomal RNA (636 nucleotides) under uncultured bacterium. RNAcentral's name for it is "bacterial SSU rRNA". The stretch from base 1 to 544 matches the Rfam family "Bacterial small subunit ribosomal RNA", at positions 338 to 873 of the family's 1533-position model. The record is from RNAcentral.